AUGGUUGGAUGACUUCAGAUGGUGGACGGAAUAAAAAGAAUGCCAGUAGCCAACGACAAUUUCCGUUUCAAUUAUCUGCAGAUCCUGAUGACGAAGAUAAAGGUUUCAUUGAUACAUAUUUUAAUGUAGUUAAUGGAAAAUGAAUAAAUUCUUUUAACUGA
Long non-coding RNA from Coccinella septempunctata (seven-spotted ladybird), 161 nucleotides. RefSeq lists it as uncharacterized. The record is from RefSeq and is a predicted model, not a curated record. The transcript has 2 exons. Lineage: Eukaryota; Metazoa; Arthropoda; Insecta; Coleoptera; Coccinellidae.